RNAcentral lists this ribosomal RNA (554 nucleotides) under uncultured bacterium. Its description in RNAcentral is "partial 16S ribosomal RNA". It matches the Rfam family "Bacterial small subunit ribosomal RNA", at positions 355 to 895 of the family's 1533-position model. The record is from RNAcentral.
UGGGGAAUAUUGCACAAUGGGCGCAAGCCUGAUGCAGCCAUGCCGCGUGUGUGAAGAAGGCCUUCGGGUUGUAAAGCACUUUCAGCGAGGAGGAAGGUGGUGAACUUAAUACGUUCAUCAAUUGACGUUACUCGCAGAAGAAGCACCGGCUAACUCCGUGCCAGCAGCCGCGGUAAUACGGAGGGUGCAAGCGUUAAUCGGAAUUACUGGGCGUAAAGCGCACGCAGGCGGUUUGUUAAGUCAGAUGUGAAAAUCCCCGGGCUCAACCUGGGAACUGCAUUUGAAAACUGGCAAGCUAGAGUCUCGUAGAGGGGGGUAGAAUUCCAGGUGUAGCGGUGAAAUGCGUAGAGAUCUGGAGGAAUACCGGUGGCGAAGGCGGCCCCCUGGACGAAGACUGACGCUCAGGUGCGAAAAGCGUGGGGAGCAAAACAGGAUUAGAUACCCUGGUAGUCCACGCUGUAAAACGAUGUCGAUUUUGGAGGUUGUGCCCUUGAGGCGUGGCUUCCGGAGCUAACGCGUUAAAUCGACCGCCUGGGGAGUACGGCCGCAAGGUU